GAAAAAUCAAAAAAAAAAUACCAAACGACUAAAAUACCUAAGAAAACAUUGUUCCGUUGAAGAAUUGGUUGAUCCUUGAAGCUCUCAUUUCUGGAAUCAUUUAGGGAUAAUCAUUGGAUGAAAUGGCUUGAUUUAGGUAGGUUUGCAAGGGCAUUUGGUUCAAUUUUGGGUUGUGUUUUAUUACUGAAUAUUUUCUGAGAGUCCUGGUGGUUUGAACUUGCUUCAAAACUGAUUUUUCUUUGUGGGCUAACUUUGUUGCUAGUCCUUGAUACUGCUUUGCUGAUACUUCAUUUCUGCUUUUUGUCUUCAAUUUCCAGAUACAAAUCUCCUAAAAUUGUGCAAUCUGAUGCUAGAAUGGAAAAAUGAAAUGAGAGAAUGGAAGUUUUGUUAUUUCUAAAGAUCAAUCUGUUAUACUGUCAUGUUUUAAAACUGUUGUUUGAGUUAUUUCCUUCUGUAGACUGUAAUAUAUAGUUUGAAUAUUAAGUUUGCUUAAAUCCCUAUGCAUUCGAUAAGCAUAACAUGUGGAUUUUGUUGAGUAGAACUAGUCAUAAUUGCUUGGUUUUAAAUGAUCUCUUGAGUGCUGAAGUUAUACAUGAUCCCUAGUUUUGUAAAUGCAUAAUGCUCUUUAGUAAUUUAAACUAUGAUGUAGUAUUUGGACUUUUAUCACUCAUGAAGCAUGGCGAUCAUGAAAGAUUGAUCGUAUGAUAAUUUUGAUCUCUUAAGUAUUUUGUUACCAUCUCUUUUGAAAUAAUAGUAUAAGUUUGUUUUAAUUCGAAUAUCGUGUGAGUGUACUAGUUGUUUGUUGUUGUCUAAGUAAUGAGUCAUGAAUAGAUGGGGUUCUUUAGUAGUUUGAGAGCAUUUUCUUUUCCAGAUUCUUUGAAAUUUUUACAUAUUCCAUCACAAUGUUUAAAACUAGUUUGAGAUUUAAAAUUAAAAUUGCAUAUAGUUGAAUUGUCAAAAUGCAUGUUGUCUGGAAUUCACAUUCCUGCUUCUGGGAGCUAAGUAGCAUUUUGGGCCUUCAGGGAUUUGAUUCCUGGGCCAGGACUUCGCUAAUCUCCCUUUAUCCGGGACUGGGCCUGAUUUGGAAGUCCUGGAGCAUUGUUUUCUUUUGGUUUGAUGGUUUUAAAAUUGAAAUGUGAGAAGCUGGCUUUCCAAGCUAAGUGGUGAAUUCGAGCUAGGAUCUCUUCAAAUUGAAAUUGUCCUUGUUCGAAUUUGGGCUUGAUCUUGGGGCCCAAACCUGCCAUCCCUUUUGAAUGUUGUUUCUUUCUUAUUGAGCUUCCAGUUCAUUGGUGCUGGGCCGAGCCUCUUUGUUAAAAUAAUAAAAAUUUUCCAUGUAAUCCUUUAGUCAAUUAAAUAGAAUCUUAACAAUAGUUAGUGUUAGUUACUUAAGUCCAUUAAUUAGAAUGGAGGCGAGCCAUAAUAGAUAAUAAUAGUUCAUGGCUCCCCUAAAUUUUAGCUAGGACAUCCUUUAAAAAAUGAAUUUGAGGUGCGCCACGCCAAAUAAAAUUACAAAUGUGUGCCCUCUUUCAAUUAUUUUCUUUAAAAUACUUAGAAUUCGAGGUGUGCUAUUUAGCAAAUUUCCAUGGCCCUCGCAAAGUUAACAACGCGUAGUUGUUUUAGGCACGUCUUUUAAUAAUAUUACCUUCUUAAAUUUUGGUGUGCAUUCACGUGACCUAAAUCCAAAUCCUAAAAUGUUGAAUAAAAUGUGUUUUGGACUGCAGGUGCAUUUCAUGUGACGCGUUCAAAAGACAUGUUUUAGACGAUGUUCAAUCUUCUUUAGAAUUAAUUAAAAGCGGUAAUAAUUUAAAAUUAACUAUAGGUUUGAACAUGUAUUUAAAAUCAGAUAAUAUACCAAUUAGAUUAGUUUAAACGAUCGUGCUAAAAUCACGGAAUCUGGAAAUAGCUAACACAUUCCAUCGGGUUAAUAGAAUUCCUUAUUUAGAAUUUCUGGUUAGCAGACUUCAAAAGGAAAGUGGAAAUUUUCCUCGAUCUGUGAUUUAAAAUAAAUUGGUGACUUGGGACACCAGAAAACCAUGUGGCGACUCUAAACAAAAAUUGAAUAAAUAAUCCUCAUUUCGAAUAAUGUCACUUAAUUGAAAAAAACUCCCUUAUACACUAUCCUUCGGGGUGAUGUAAAAAAGAGAUGUGACUACCGCAGAGUUAUAGGCUUAAACAACUUCAUCUCAAACCUAAUCUCUUCAUUUAGAGCUCCAAUGAAACUGGAGAUGAAGUGUGAUUCAUCCAAGAGAGGAUUCCUUAUCAACAUUUGUCAUCAAGUCUUCAAACUUGCCUAGGAAUUCAUCAACCGACCAUGUUUGACUCAACUUGUUAAACUCUUUGACUAUGUCUCUCAUUAGUUCCUCCCCAAAUCGAUUAAGCAACUCCUCUUUGUAUUCAGUCCAGCUUACUUCACCCCUACUUAGCACUAAUGAGUAGUAUCAAGUUUCAGGUAAUCCAUUCAGAUAGAGUGCAGCAUCUUCUACCUUCAGAUUAUCUGAGGUUCUAUACAAAUUGAAGUACCUUUCACACUUUCGAAUCCAUACCUUAGAUUCAUGACCUUCAAAGUAAGGCAGUUUCCACUUAGGAGAAGGGGCCUGCACAACUUGAGGCCUGUGUUGUAUCAAUUCCUGACUUGGUAUGGGUAAGGGAGUCCAUCUCCUUGAGGUCUGUUACCUUGAGCUCGUUGGGGAACUCUUUCCAAAUUUGUCAACCCCUCUAAGAUUAACUCUAAGGUACUUGUAUCCCAAUUUGAGUGUUGCGUAAUUCCUCUUGGGUGGUCAGAACUUUAUUCAAAAUCUCAUCAUGUCUUACCAGCUUAUUAUCCAUAACUUCAGCCUCGUUCCUUCAAUCAUCACCUUCUUCACCAGUCACAGGAUCAAGGCUCUAAUACCAAUUGUAAUGAUCUCGAUAAGAACUAAAAAGAUUAAACAACUAAUUUGCAAAAUUGAGGGAAUUUUUCAGACAAUUUUCGGUUUAUAUUAAUGAAAAUAAGAAGUUGAACUAUAAAACAACCGAAAAUAACUUUCUUCUAAAUUGGAACUCCAUAGCUGGUGAGAUCUGCCGAAUGAAGGAGGAAGGAGUUAGAAGGGAAGAGAGAAAGAAAGAGAAACAAAGAUCGAGUAAAGAAAGAGAGAAGAGAGAAAAUGACCUGAGGUUUGCUGCCUUCCUCUUUCCGUUGAAGGUGGUUCUAACAACCUCAAGCUGACAUGACUCCAUCCUCGCUCUUGCAACUCAUUAACUCUAAUCUAAUCUCAGCAGUUCAAUUAAAUUUCUGUUAUUCCCUUUCACAAUUUAUGUUACUGAUGAUCUUAAGCUUCUUCACUUCGAACCCAGUUAGCAACACUGACUUUACGGUGAUUAAUGGAUCAUUACAAGUUUCAAUCAAAUUUAUGUCCAAAAAGCUAACUAAGUUUUAAUGCAAGUACUUUGAAAGAUAGUUUUGAAUUUACCAAAAACUUCACCACAUUUAUGAUCUUUUAAGAUAACUUCUAAUUUCCCAAAAACUUAACAAAACAUGCGAAUCUUUGGCAAUUAGUAGCAGCUAAUUGUGCGCUACGAAAUAUGGAAUAUGAGAAUGAUGAUGAUAAGAACUUAACGAUCCCCAUGAGGGUGAACACGCAAAUUUAGCUGUUAAGACUUAAAAAGAAAGUCCCUCUCGCAUAAAAAUCCUCAACAGUUUUCUUACAAGAUAUAAAUAUCGUUUAAUCUCUAAAACUUCAAUAGCACGGACAAAACUUGGGAAUAGACUCCCUUCAAAUUAAGGUCAUGAGGUCGAUGGUAUGGAUAAGCUUGUUUUAUAGCUUUGGCUCUAGAAUAUGUUCUUUUCCCCAAUAAAUUGCCUAAACAAUCGUUGUAAAAAUAAUAAAGCUUCCAAAGUGACUCUCAGGAACUUUUCGCUGCCAGUCGCACAUAUUUUCCAUCAAUAACGAACUUAGAACUCGAAUUUAUCUGCACAAAAUAGGAACAAAAAUCGCGUCAGUACCCUUACACAUUUGGUUAAAGGAUCAGUCAUGAACAAACAGGCAUAGAUACGGUUUGAUCACCUUAUGCUCAAUUGUGUCGCUGACUUGGCUUUUGUCUUUUAUUAUGCCAGACUCAUUCACAGACUUCAGGACAAUCUUUUCAAGUUUCUUCAACUUCAGAACACCAUCAGAAUUCUGUCCCAAGUGCGACAAGAGCGUAAGAGAGAUACCAGAG
This 4197-nucleotide long non-coding RNA is filed under the name Nicotiana benthamiana. RNAcentral describes it as "long non-coding RNA (NBEN_LNC027569)". The record is from RNAcentral. Lineage: Eukaryota; Viridiplantae; Streptophyta; Magnoliopsida; Solanales; Solanaceae.